AAAUGAAAAUAGCUUUGAUGUUGUUUUUCCUAAGGGGUGAUGUGUUGGGUCACUAAGACACCCCUUUAAGCACUACAUUUUUGGAGCUCAUUCAAUCAGUAUGAACAAUCAAAUGGGCCAUGACCAGCAGGUCAUCAUCUGUAUUAUUCCAAGGUAGGUUGCUCCCAUUUUGAAAGGCUAUUAAUCAAAUCAAUCAUAUGUGAAAGCUUGGCUGCAAGUACCAAAUGCUUGAAACAAAAAAAUCUUUCAGUAUAAGAAAAUGAGCAGGAAUCAAGGUAAGACCCAAGUGCAGACUGUGUGAAGUUACAAUGUUUAUUGUAACCACAGGGGCAGACAAACGACAGGUCAAGGCAGGCAGGGGUCGAUAAUCCAGAGUAGGAGCAAAGGUACAGGAUGGCAAGCAGGCUCAGGGACAGGCAGAGUUCAGUAAUCCAGAGGGGGAGUAAAGGUACAGGACGGCAGGCAGGCUCAGGCAGAGUGGUCAGGCAGGCAGGGUCAGGAUAGGCAAGGGUCAAAAACCAGGAGGAUGAGAAAAGGAGAGGCUGGGACAAUACAGGUUGCUGACAGGACGAACACUGGUAAGCUUGACAAAUAAGACGAACUGGCACAGACAGACAGAAAACACAGGUAUAAAUACCCAGAGGAUAAGUGGGGAAGAUGGGCGACACCUGGAGGGGGUGGAGACGAGCACAAGGACAGGUGAAACAGAUCAGGGCGUGACAAAAAUUGGAACAUAAUUAUGUUUAUAUGGUGCAUGGGGUUCCAAUGGUACAUUUGUUAUAUUAGCACCCCCUUCAGAUCAAUUUCCCCAAAAUGUAGGAACUCCAGUCAGGGUCUCUGUUGCGAGUUAGAAUAGUAGAAUACACAUGGUGCAUUUUCAACAUUUGGUUUUGCAUAAGCAGUUUUACUCUGUCAGUUAUUGGUAGUCAGUCAAUUAGCCCAUGUCAGCUAAUUUCUUUUUAUUGCUAAGUUAGUUUAGCGGCCAGUUAUCUAAACUUGUUAUCAUGGUCGAAAUAUCGGCCGGGGGGCCCCCAUUGAUUUUGUUAGUCAGUCUCACUAUUGAUACACCAGUGUGUCAGUCUAAGUAACAUAAUACAAAAAUUCACAUCAAAAUCUGUGAGUUUAAGCUAGAGAUCAUGUUUUUUGCAAGGGCUGCAUCUCAAUCCACCACAUCCUCCUGUGUCGGCCUUCCGCAUCAAAGUCGGACACCUCCAUCAAAGUUGCCCUUCCCUGUACUAGCCUAUAAUAUGGGAAGGGGGCAAGUUAAUGUUAAUGUUAGUAUGAGUCAGCAUGAUUGAUGUUAUGAUAAUAAAAUAUAUAUAAUUAAAACAAGAUUGGAACCACAUGAAUAAGACAAAGAAAAUGACUGAAGGACACACAUUUAUUUGGUUUAGGCAUUGGAAUCUGAGCAUUGAAGAAAAGAGUAGAGAUGUACAGACAUAUUAAAAGCCUUUUAAACAAAUACAUCACCAUAUGUAGAGACUAAGCUGUAUUAUCCCAUGUGAUAAUUCCAAAGGUUUGUAUAGAAAUGUAUGAGUUUAACCCUGAGAAAAUGGAAUCUUAUAAGCAGCCAAGCAGCAAGACUUCUAUUCAGUUGUAACCUACCAGGGGGAAGAGGAGGAAAAAUAGGAGCUUUCAUAUUUCAACUAUGUGUGCGAGCGGACAGCAGCCUUAGAAUGAAUGAGCAAUGAAGACAGAAAAGAGUUGACACACUCUUAUGUCUCUUAAAAUGUAUCGGGCAAUUGAACUCCUGGACACUUUGUAUUUUUUCAUCCACCAUGGAUGACCAGAAUGCCAAUGAGGGUAAGGCAGGCACUGUAAGAGUGCCUGAGUGAGUAUAAUAGUGUGUGAAACUUGUGUAUGGGUUUUUUUCUUAAAUAGUCUCAAGAAAACAUUGUGUCACCAAGAUGGCCAACUUGUUCUAUUUUACAAGGUUACGAGAUAAUGAGCCAGACAGCUCAAUUCAUUUAACUUCUGUGUGAACAUGGUGACAGAAGCACGGCAUUCUUGAGUUAAUUUAUGUAAUUCUGUGUCUUGAAAUAAUUAAAUAAAUACAUCUGUAAUGAAGUUUGCUUUUUAUACCACACGGCCUGUGAAAUGAUCAAUACAAACACAUGCAGAAAAUCAGACAGCUUGGUCUCCGUCUAUGGCUACAGCUUUCAAACACAUUAUGUUAGUCACUUACUUUCUU
RNAcentral lists this long non-coding RNA (2191 nucleotides) under Salmo salar (Atlantic salmon). RNAcentral's name for it is "lncRNA (ENSSSAG00000092211.1)". The record is from RNAcentral. Lineage: Eukaryota; Metazoa; Chordata; Actinopteri; Salmoniformes; Salmonidae.